This 1215-nucleotide unclassified non-coding RNA is filed under the name Leishmania donovani. Its description in RNAcentral is "gene:LdHU3.23.0050(CDS-product:hypothetical_prote in_conserved)". Lineage: Eukaryota; Euglenozoa; Kinetoplastea; Trypanosomatida; Trypanosomatidae. The record is from RNAcentral.
CCGAAGACAGAUGCGGGGAUGGCCGACGUCAAAGUAACGUUUGCAUUUGUCACUCCCAGGUCCAUCAACUGCUGUGCGGCCGCGCAGUGUAAUGACGAGUCGACAGUUGACGUGUCGGAGACCCUUUCAGGGGCGCCGCAGCAUGAUUUACGCGCUGCUAUAAUCAAGGUUCUGGACUACGAUACUGGGCAUUCUCGUGUUUUCUGCAUGACGUACCCCCACGGCACUAGAAUGCGGUCUGUUUGCAAGUCACUUGCAGAUGCCAUGGCAGCAAGUGCGGGUGAGAUGGUUUGCUUUACUCCUCCUCCCAUGCCUGCCGAUCGUGUUUUGCGUCUGUGUGCCAUGAGAGUUUUAGAGCCAGGUGACAACGUUCCGGAUGUGCUCUUCUGCCAGAAAGCUGCAGCGCCUCGUCAAUGUGCAGUGGCUUUAUCGAGCUGGAUGCUUGUGAAUGUUCUUCUUUGCGGAAACGAUGGCGUCCUUUCGGUGGGCCACCUGCCCUGCGUGGUGCAGGUGCCUGGUGCCUCCAUCACAAAGGACGGUAUCUGUAGCAGCUUGUGUGCCUUGCUCAGAAUGGGUUUGGAAUGCGAGCGGUACCUGCGAAGCUGUGCGCUGUUCUGCUGCACGGUGGAGAGAAAGAGCAUCGUCUUGCGUGACCCGUUUCACGACGGCGGGUGCCCAAGCCAGGUUGCCAUUAUCUACGGUGCGGUCGAUGUUGGGGACGUCGUGCUUGUGUCCGCGGCGUUGCCUUGCGCAGCCGUCGAAGCGAGGCCAUCGGUUUUGCAGGCCGUUGUGGUGAGGCGGUUUGCAGAGGAUGGAGUGACGCUGUUUGAUGUGAAGGAGGUGGACACUGCCGUCGUCUUGGAGGGACUUACGUGCACACAGCUGGUGCCUCUCUAGCCGCUCUGACUGUCCCUGAGAAGAGUGAACGAAAAAUAAUAUAGACACUUCUGCUGACGCUUUUGUUGUUCUGUUAGUCUCUCUCUUUCUCGUCUCGGCCGCGGACUCGACUCCUUGUUUCUCAAAGGCGCUUCUCGAUGGACAUUCCGAGUGGUUGCCCUGCGGGAGUGAGCAGCGAGAACGGUGUCUGCACGCCCUCUUUUCAUGCUUCUCUGCUCAUCCACAGGUGCUUUUCUGCACCGUUCCCUCUGUUCCUGCUCCUUUGUUUCUUUCGUCUCUGCCUGAUUGUGUGGGCACUACGGACACCGUUGUUUGAAG